Molecule: long non-coding RNA, 782 nt
Organism: Patella vulgata (common limpet)
Lineage: Eukaryota; Metazoa; Mollusca; Gastropoda; Patellidae
Exons: 3
Source: RefSeq, a predicted model, not a curated record
CCAACCUGUAGUAGAAUGUUGAGGACAGCGAAGCUAGUAUAUAACGUAGUAUAGCGUAGACUCGACUCUAUUUAUGUGUACUCUAUUCGGUGUGUCGCAUGGUUUGGCUUUCACGUUUUACAUGUUGUAGUGAUAGGAUAUCAUUACUUCAAUACGUACGAUCAUCCUAGAUUAGUUAAUUUCACCGGGUCUCUUUACUGUAAUGGCUGAUAUUAAGGAACUCACAGUGAAAGUCUAGUAGGAAAUAGUCAAGGUCGACGUUAGUUCUUAUAUGCAGUUAUCGUUAUGACAGAAGAGCAAAGUGAACUAUGGGGUCAAGGCCGUUACUCUCAGCAACAAUUUUGGUCGCCAUGACAUUGACAAGUUGUUCCGCGUUUCUGUGUAAAUGGUCUAAUGAAGGUUGUGAUAGGAAUGACGAGUGCUGCAGUGGUUCAUGCCAACAACUACAUCCGGGUAUGAACGCGAGAUGUACAAAAAGUGUGCUCCAUAAUCCUUGCAUAUUUACACACCACUGUCAAGAUAGACUCCACUGUGGUGCCGAUAACACGUGCUGUUCUAAAUACUGGGGAACGUGUCGUCGACAAAUAGACUGUUGCAACAAGAACUACAUUUGUAUCGACGUGAAAGGAUUUCAUUACAGACGUUGUUUGCCAGCGCCUGUUGACGGCGUAGGAAUAAAACAGAACGUCACAGCAAUACUCACUAUGUUUUCAACCUUUUUCAUUCUGUUUUUAAACCAGUUUUAACUUCUUUGUAAUGUUACAAUAAAACCCUUUUUUGCA